RNAcentral lists this unclassified non-coding RNA (366 nucleotides) under uncultured bacterium. Its description in RNAcentral is "contains 16S-23S intergenic spacer region". The record is from RNAcentral.
UCCCCCUAAUCGGAGGCAGUCUCGCAUGACACUUGUAACAUGCAAUAGGGGUUGCGUUCGUUACCCCACUUAAGGGAACAGUUCACACCACGAACUGACGACGGCCGUGCAUCACCUGUCCUGCUGUCCUUGUGAGAAGUUCCGAGUUUCCCCGGAAUGUCAACAGAAUUUCAAACCCUGGUGAGGUUCCUCGUUUGCCAUCGAAUUAAACCACAUGGCCCACCGCUUGUGCGAAUCCCCGUCUAUUCCUUUGAGUUUUAGCCUUGCGGCCGUACUUCCCAGGCGGCAGGCUUAACGCGUUAGCUAAGUCACUCGGAGGGUCGAUACUCCGAACAACGAGCCUGCAUCGUUUAGGGCGUGGACUAC